This 372-nucleotide unclassified non-coding RNA is filed under the name soil metagenome. Its description in RNAcentral is "partial contains 5.8S ribosomal RNA, internal transcribed spacer 2, and large subunit ribosomal RNA". The stretch from base 1 to 120 matches the Rfam family "5.8S ribosomal RNA", at positions 35 to 154 of the family's 154-position model. The record is from RNAcentral.
GAUGAAGAACGCAGCGAACUGCGAUAAGUAAUGUGAAUUGCAGAAUUCAGUGAAUCAUCGAGUCUUUGAACGCACAUUGCGCCCUUUGGUAUUCCGAAGGGCAUGCCUGUUCGAGCGUCAUUAUCACCCCUCAAGCCCUCGGCUUGGUGUUGGACGGUUUGGUGGAGGCCCCCUCGGGGGCUCCUGCCCCUCCCAAAGACAAUGACGGCGGCCUCGUUGGACCCCCGGUACACUGAGUUCUUCACGGGACACGUAUCGGACACAUGGGUUUACGGGACACGGUCUGCCUCCCCUCAGGGAGAAUCUUUCUAAGGUUGACCUCGGAUCAGGUAGGGAUACCCGCUGAACUUAAGCAUAUCAAUAAGCGGAGGA